ACUUGAGACGGACUGUAUUAAAAA
This 24-nucleotide microRNA is filed under the name Brachypodium distachyon (stiff brome). RNAcentral describes it as "bdi-miR7737-3p". Lineage: Eukaryota; Viridiplantae; Streptophyta; Magnoliopsida; Poales; Poaceae. The record is from miRBase by way of RNAcentral.